GGCCCACCCCUUUCCAUUCCGAACAGGGAAGUUAAGCCCGUUAGCGCCGAUGGUACUGCCACACCAGGUGGGAGAGUAGGUCGCCGCCUUCC
RNAcentral lists this ribosomal RNA (92 nucleotides) under Flagellimonas ochracea. The record is from RNAcentral. Lineage: Bacteria; Pseudomonadati; Bacteroidota; Flavobacteriia; Flavobacteriales; Flavobacteriaceae.